AGUCUGGUGCCAGCAGCCGCGGUAAUUCCAGCUCCGCAAGUGUAUAUCUAUGUUGCUGCGGUUAAAAAGCUCGUAGUUGGAUCUGCGUGUUUAGCGUCCGGUUCGACUUUUGGUCGUUACUGGAACGCGACACAGAUGUGCUGGUUUGCCGUUGAUGCUCUUAAUCGGGUGUCAGUGGCGGCUAGCGAGUUUACUUUGAAAAAUUAGAGUGCUCAAAACAGGCGUUUCGCCUGAAUAUUUCUGCAUGGAAUAAUAGAAUAGGACUUCGAUUCUAUUCUGUUGGUUUUCGGAAUGCGAAGUAAUGAUUAAGAGGGACAGACGGGGGCAUUCGUACUGCGACGUUAGAGGUGAAAUUCUUGGAUCGUCGCAAGACGUACUACUGCGAAGGCAUUUGCCAAGAAUGUUUUCAUUAAUCAAGAACGAAAGUUAUGGGUUCGAAGGCGAUCAGAUACCGCCCUAGUCAUAACCGUAAACGAUUCAAACUGUCGCCCGACGGUGUUUUUAUUGACCCGUCGGGAACCCUCCCGGAAACGAAAGUGUUCGUGUUCCGGGGGAAAUAUGUCUGCAAAGAGGAAACUUAAAGGAAUUGACGGAAGGGCACCACCAGGGGUGGAGCCUGCGGCUUAAUUUGACCCAACACGGGGAAACUCACCCGGCCCGGACACCGUAAGGAUUGACAGAUUGAGAGCUCUUUCUUGAUUCGGUGGGUGGUGGUGCAUGGCCGUUCUUAGUUGGUGGAGUGAUUUGUCUGGUUUAUUCCGAUAACGAACGAGACUCUGGCCUGCUAACUAGUGUUCACAUCUUUACGUGUGCUUCGCUUCUUAGAGGGACAGGCGGCUUCCAGCCGCAUGAAGAAGAGCAAUAACAGGUCUGUGAUGCCCUUAGAUGUCCGGGGCUGCACGCGCGCUACACUGAAAGAAUCAGCGUGUACGUCACCUGGCUCGAAAGAGUCGGGUAAUCCGGUGAAAAUCUUUCGUGAUUGGGAUCGGGACUUGCAAUUAUUUCCCUUGAACGAGGAAUCCCUAGUAAGUGCGGGUCAUCAGCUCGCGCUGAUUACGUCCCUGCCCUUUGUACACACCGCCCGUCGCUGCCCGGAACUGAGCCGUUUCGAGAAAAUGGGGACUGUCUACUUGAGGUCUUCACGGACUUUUUGUAAAUGGAAACCGCUUUAAUCGCAGCGGCUUGAACCGGGCAAAAGUCGUAACAAGGUUUCCGUAGGUGAACCUGCGGAAG
RNAcentral lists this ribosomal RNA (1233 nucleotides) under metagenome. RNAcentral describes it as "SSU rRNA". It matches the Rfam family "Eukaryotic small subunit ribosomal RNA", at positions 558 to 1823 of the family's 1831-position model. The record is from RNAcentral.